AACUGAAGGCGAACCUGAAAAGUGAAACUAUCAAAGCAGCAUCCCAAAGCUGCAGGAGAAGAGUCGGCUCAGACUACUGAGAGUGUGGGACAGUGGAAUAGUGGGAUAAUAGUUUCACCAGUGUGCUGUUUUAAAAAACAGGUGGAGAUCCUGCCUUGAUAGACUGGCAGACAAGCAGGCGGCCAGGCUGUGUAAACUCAAGGCCAGGCGGAGAGCCAGACAGAAAAAUCUGAAGUUUUUUUUUCCCACAGAUUUUUCUGCUGUGCUUUCUUUCAAAGCAGAGGAAGUUGGUUAUAAACUAUUGCAAAGCUCCGAGAAGACUCCCAUUGAUGGCUACUGACCCUGCCUCUUCGAGUCUGGGAGCUAUGAAAGCAGCUGCUCCUGAGAAGUCGUGUCUUAUUGAGGGGAUAAGAAGACCUCCGUACAGAGCUCUUAUCCUGUAAAAAGACCACUUUCCAGAGGCUAUCACUGUGAUGCCAACAGCUAAAGCCUUAGCAGUUGUUAACUCUGUGCUUUCACACAUCUAUCUUUUUCAGUUUUCUUUUUAUUUCAAGUAAAUGGGGUUGCCUGGUUGGCACCCUAAACUUCAA
Molecule: long non-coding RNA, 590 nt
Organism: Erpetoichthys calabaricus (reedfish)
Lineage: Eukaryota; Metazoa; Chordata; Cladistia; Polypteriformes; Polypteridae
Exons: 2
Source: RefSeq, a predicted model, not a curated record